ACGGAAGGCAGCAGUGGGGAAUAUUGCACAAUGGAGGAAACUCUGAUGCAGCGACGCCGCGUGAGCGAAGAAGUAUUUCGGUAUGUAAAGCUCUAUCAGCAGGGAAGAAAAUGACGGUACCUGACUAAGAAGCCCCGGCUAACUACGUGCCAGCAGCCGCGGUAAUACGUAGGGGGCAAGCGUUAUCCGGAUUUACUGGGUGUAAAGGGAGCGUAGACGGCAAGGCAAGUCUGAUGUGAAAGGUGGGGGCUUAACUCCCAAACUGCAUUGGAAACUGUCUGGCUUGAGUGCCGGAGAGGUAAGCGGAAUUCCUAGUGUAGCGGUGAAAUGCGUAGAUAUUAGGAGGAACACCAGUGGCGAAGGCGGCUUACUGGACGGUAACUGACGUUGAGGCUCGAAAGCGUGGGGAGCAAGCAGGAUUAGAUACCCUGGUA
RNAcentral lists this ribosomal RNA (434 nucleotides) under uncultured Lachnospiraceae bacterium. RNAcentral describes it as "partial 16S ribosomal RNA". It matches the Rfam family "Bacterial small subunit ribosomal RNA", at positions 341 to 792 of the family's 1533-position model. Lineage: Bacteria; Bacillati; Bacillota; Clostridia; Lachnospirales; Lachnospiraceae. The record is from RNAcentral.